This 459-nucleotide small RNA is filed under the name Pongo abelii (Sumatran orangutan). RNAcentral's name for it is "processed transcript". The record is from RNAcentral. Lineage: Eukaryota; Metazoa; Chordata; Mammalia; Primates; Hominidae.
CCAGGUUGCUAUUCUGGAAGCGGCAUUUCUGCCGCUACAAGAAGACACUCAAGAAUUGGUAAGGACCUGAAAGCCUAUGGUGGGAACAGCCAGCAUUAUUGAAGUUUCAGCUUUAGGAAGAUACCACAUGGCUAUCAGGUUUUCUAAGGGCUGGGAAGAAACGGUGGAUGCCGCCAUUUCCCACCUGUUGAAGACUUGCCUGUCGAAGAGUUCUAAGGAGCAGGCUUUGAACCUCAACAGCCAGCUGAACAUACCCAAAGACACAAGCCAACUGAAGAAACAUAUCACCUUGCUCUGCGAUAGAUUAGCCAAAGGUGGCCGUCUCUGCCUAAGUACCGAUGCAGCAGCCCCACAGACCAUGGUCAUGCCAGGUGGUUGUACUACAAUCCCAGAGUCAGACCUAGAAGAAAGAUCAGUAGAACAAGACUCUACAGAACUGUUUACCAACCAGAGACAUCU